CCUACGGGAGGCAGCAGUGGGGAAUAUUGGACAAUGGGCGCAAGCCUGAUCCAGCCAUGCCGCGUGUGUGAAGAAGGCCUUCGGGUUGUAAAGCACUUUUGUUCGGGAAGAAAAGCUACCGGUUAAUACCCGGGAGUCAUGACGGUACCGAAAGAAUAAGCACCGGCUAACUUCGUGCCAGCAGCCGCGGUAAUACGAAGGGUGCAAGCGUUACUCGGAAUUACUGGGCGUAAAGCGUGCGUAGGUGGUGAGUUAAGUCUGUCGUGAAAGCCCCGGGCUCAACCUGGGAAUGGCGAUGGAUACUGGCUCGCUAGAGUGCGGUAGAGGAGAGUGGAAUUCCCGGUGUAGCAGUGAAAUGCGUAGAGAUCGGGAGGAACAUCAGUUGCGAAGGCGGCUCUCUGGACCAACACUGACACUGAGGCACGAAAGCGUGGGGAGCAAACAGGAUUAGAUACCCUGGUAGUCCACGCCCUAAACGAUGCGAACUGGACGUUGGGAGCAAUUAGGCUCUCAGUGUCGAAGCUAACGCGUUAAGUUCGCCGCCUGGGGAGUACGGUCGCAAGACUGAAACUCAAAGGAAUUGACGG
RNAcentral lists this ribosomal RNA (587 nucleotides) under uncultured bacterium. RNAcentral's name for it is "bacterial SSU rRNA". It matches the Rfam family "Bacterial small subunit ribosomal RNA", at positions 338 to 916 of the family's 1533-position model. The record is from RNAcentral.